UACGAAGGGGGCUAGCGUUGCUCAGAAUCACUGGGCGUAAAGGGUGCGUAGGCGGGUCUUUAAGUCAGGGGUGAAAUCCUGGAGCUCAACUCCAGAUCUGCCUUUGAUACUGAAGAUCUUGAGUUCGGGAGAGGUGAGUGGAACUGCGAGUGUAGAGGUGAAAUUCGUAGAUAUUCGCAAGAACACCAGUGGCGAAGGCGGCUCACUGGCCCGAUACUGACGCUGAGGCACGAAAGCGUGGGGAGCAAACAGG
This 253-nucleotide ribosomal RNA is filed under the name uncultured bacterium. Its description in RNAcentral is "partial 16S ribosomal RNA". It matches the Rfam family "Bacterial small subunit ribosomal RNA", at positions 524 to 776 of the family's 1533-position model. The record is from RNAcentral.